RNAcentral lists this ribosomal RNA (331 nucleotides) under Heloderma suspectum (Gila monster). Its description in RNAcentral is "partial 12S ribosomal RNA". It matches the Rfam family "Bacterial small subunit ribosomal RNA", at positions 263 to 779 of the family's 1533-position model. The record is from RNAcentral. Lineage: Eukaryota; Metazoa; Chordata; Lepidosauria; Squamata; Helodermatidae.
GAACUCCGGAGCAAGUAUCAGGCUCAACAAAUUGGCCCAUAACACUUUGCAUCGCCACCUCCCCACGGAUAUCAGCAGUAAUUAAUAUUAGGCAAUUAGUGAAAACUUGACCUAGCUAUGGUUAACUGGGCCGGCAAAUUUCGUGCCAGCAGCCGCGGUUAUACGAAAGGCCCAAAACAAGAAGCAUACGGCGUAAAGCGUGACUAGAAUUUUAUCUUUGCAGCUAUAAGGAGAAAUUAAAGUUAAGUAGUAAAAUACACUAACUAAAAGAAUCUUAACCCCUUAUGCAAAUAAUAUUUCACUCACGAAAANUAAGAAACNAACUAGGNUU